This 842-nucleotide unclassified non-coding RNA is filed under the name Hevea brasiliensis (rubber tree). The record is from RNAcentral. Lineage: Eukaryota; Viridiplantae; Streptophyta; Magnoliopsida; Malpighiales; Euphorbiaceae.
AGAAUCGAAGUAAACAAACAUUGGAUCCAAUACUUGGCGCAUUGUUGUACUCUCUUUUGCCAGUUCAACCAUUCUUUGAAUACAAAUUUGAGCCCAAACUUUAGGUAUCUCAAUCUCUUCCCUAGUCAAAAGAGAAGGGUCUUUCUUUUCUGGACGUGGUCUGAUGAUCAUGCAGCUAGAGCUAGUAUCACAACUGCCAACUGCCCCUCUGCCUUCAGAUCUAACUACUUCAUCGACCCAAUUAUGAUGUGGCCCCCCUCUUAUAUCAUCAUGGACAUCUGGUUCAUAGUUAUCUAAGGUGACUUGUACAAUCUCAUCGAAAGCAGCAAAAAUAUAUAAGAACUCUGCCAUGAACCACACCAUUGCUGAAAGGCAUUGCAGGCUAGAAGCUCUCAAGCGGCUCUCAUGUUCAUUCCCGUGAACACAUGCCAGCUUGCAAACUUGGUGCACAAAUUUUUCAAUGUUAUGCGUGUAAGUUCCAUCUGUCUGACUAUAGAUGAACAUUGUUAAGGUCUGGCAUCCAAGUAUAAGCAAAGCAUCCUGCUUAGGUUUGUCCAACAGUUCACUGACCACAUUCAACAAACUAAUAGCAAAGUAUGCCAUCUGCUCCUUGCACACACAAAGCAACUUUUUAUAAGUCUCUGUGACAAUAUUAAUGAAAUUGAUGUGCUCACUUCGAAGUUCCUUGUAGCACCUUUCUUCAAGAUAUUUUGCAAUCUUUGGGAUUCGAANNNNNNNGCAGCAUAUUCACAUAACUUGAUAAUUUUUCUUUCAUUUGGAAGCGCAUCCGACUUAGGGAAUAUCUCUGCAAGCAGUUUUUUGUACCGCUUGACCGGUUGUCG